Molecule: ribosomal RNA, 625 nt
Filed under: Bacillus sp. FJAT-4490
Lineage: Bacteria; Bacillati; Bacillota; Bacilli; Caryophanales; Bacillaceae
Description: bacterial SSU rRNA
Rfam family: Bacterial small subunit ribosomal RNA
Source: RNAcentral
CAGUCGAGCGAAUCGAUGGGAGCUUGCUCCCUGAGAUUAGCGGCGGACGGGUGAGUAACACGUGGGCAACCUGCCUAUAAGACUGGGAUAACUUCGGGAAACCGGAGCUAAUACCGGAUACGUUCUUUUCUCGCAUGAGAGAAGAUGGAAAGACGGUUUACGCUGUCACUUAUAGAUGGGCCCGCGGCGCAUUAGCUAGUUGGUGAGGUAAUGGCUCACCAAGGCGACGAUGCGUAGCCGACCUGAGAGGGUGAUCGGCCACACUGGGACUGAGACACGGCCCAGACUCCUACGGGAGGCAGCAGUAGGGAAUCUUCCGCAAUGGACGAAAGUCUGACGGAGCAACGCCGCGUGAACGAAGAAGGCCUUCGGGUCGUAAAGUUCUGUUGUUAGGGAAGAACAAGUACCAGAGUAACUGCUGGUACCUUGACGGUACCUAACCAGAAAGCCACGGCUAACUACGUGCCAGCAGCCGCGGUAAUACGUAGGUGGCAAGCGUUGUCCGGAAUUAUUGGGCGUAAAGCGCGCGCAGGUGGUUCCUUAAGUCUGAUGUGAAAGCCCACGGCUCAACCGUGGAGGGUCAUUGGAAACUGGGGAACUUGAGUGCAGAAGAGGAAAGUGGAAU